This 253-nucleotide ribosomal RNA is filed under the name uncultured bacterium. RNAcentral describes it as "partial 16S ribosomal RNA". It matches the Rfam family "Bacterial small subunit ribosomal RNA", at positions 524 to 776 of the family's 1533-position model. The record is from RNAcentral.
UACGAAGGGGGCUAGCGUUGUUCGGAAUUACUGGGCGUAAAGCGCACGUAGGCGGACUACUAAGUCAGGGGUGAAAUCCCGGGGCUCAACCCCGGAACUGCCUUUGAUACUGAUAGUCUCGAGUCCGGAAGAGGUGAGUGGAAUUCCGAGUGUAGAGGUGAAAUUCGUAGAUAUUCGGAAGAACACCAGUGGCGAAGGCGACUUACUGGACACAUAUUGACGCUGAGGUGCGAAAGCGUGGGGAGCAAACAGG